UUUCACUACAAAAAACCAGCGCAGUUCUGGCGCCCAUCUCCCGGCGGCCAGGCCGACGGAAGGUUACACUUGUCCGCCUGCAUAAUUUUCCCUCGUAAAUGAGAGAAAUGAGCUGGCGGCCAGGCCGACGGAAUAUUUUUUUGUAAAAAAUGUCAGUGGCCUGGCCGCCAGCUCCAAUUUCACCAACGGUCGGGAAGAAGUGAUCCAGCGGCCUAGCCGCCGGCAUACUAUAACCGUCAACGGUCGGGAGAAAAAUAGCUGGCGGCUUGGCCGCUGGAUACUUUUUCCCGCUUGUUUUUUUCAGUAGCCGGCGGCCUGGCCGCCAGGAUUUUUGGGGAACCCUAAUUUUUACCACUUGCACCGCCGUGGUCCUCCGUACAGUCAAACAUAGUCAAACGAAACUUAAGUAUUUCCGAGCGGCCUGGCCGCCAGGAUUUUUUAUAUAUAUAUAAAAAAUUCCAGACUUUUCUCAUUUCUCCCAAACUCUCCCAACGUCUCCCCACUUCUCCAAACUCCUCCCAACUUCUCCAAUCUUCUCCAAACUUCUCCCAAGUUGUCCAAACUUCUCCCCAAGGGCGUUUAUACCAUCUCCGGCCGAUUUGAUCGAGCACCUCCGGCCAUUCCUUCCCAAGGUAAUUUUCUCCCCUUCUUCUUCAACUUCAUCUUCUUCUUCAUCUUCUCCAUGUUAUAAUUUAUAUCAUCUUUUCCUAUUCUUCUACAUUUUCUAUAUAUGUAUGUAUUUGGUGGUUUAUAUAUUGGGGUUAGAUGUUAGGUUGAUUUAUUUUUUUGAUUUUGGGGUUUUGAUUUUGGGGGUUUGAUUUUGGGGUUUUGAUUUUGGGGUUUUGAUUAGAUCGAUAUUAAAUUGAAUUUAUAAUUAGUAACUUUUUUAUUAAGUUAAUAUGUAUUAUUAUUUACCUCUUGCUCAACUUGUCCCAACUCUCAAGCUUACAAUUCAUUAGUACAUUAUAUUAUUUAAUUGUAGUUGAUUUUUAAAAUAUUAACUAUAUUUGACUGUAUCAUUAUCUACUGGAUUGGUUACAAUUUUUUAAUGGACGGAUUGACACCCAAAGAUUGGGUUACUAUUAUUAUUGGGUUACUAUUACUAUUAUGGUUACUAUUAUUAUUAGGUAUCCUAAUUACAUAUAUACUUAAUACAUAAUUAGGACUAUUAUUUAUAUAUGAAUCGUUAGGAUACUUUAUACUUAAUUAGGAUACAAAAUUAGGACUAUUAUUAUUAUCACCGUUAUUUUAUAUAUGAAUCGUUAAAUUGACCAAAUAUACUAAAUUUAAUUCAUAACUUACUAAGAGCUAUUGGGCUCACUUAAUUAAAUGGUACAUUUACAUUUUGUAAGUUGUAAGUCAGUUAGUGUUUUAGUAUAAUUAUUGUGACUUAAUUUAGUGUAAUUUAUUUUAAUUGACUUUAUUUUAAUUCUAUUUUAAUUUAGUGUACUGUUUUUAUUGAGUGUUAUGAUUUUAAUUUAGAUUUUGAAUAUUUAGGUUUAUGUAUAUAUGUUGGUUUUCAAUAUUUAGGUUUAAUUCAUUUUAAUUUAGUGUUUGUUUAUGUACUGUUGGUUUUGUAUUGGUAAUUCAUUUUAAUUCAUUUUGUAGUAUUUUAAUUUUAUAUGUUAAAAUUAUUUUAGGUUGAAGGUUUGUUUUGCGGAUUUACAAAUUUGUGAUUUGAAGGCCGGUGUUAGUUUUGAAGGUUUGUGAUUUACAAAUUUAAUGUCUUUUGAUAUUAUGUAUGUGUUAAUCGAUAUAGUUUGUGAUAUGUUAUGUGUGUGUAUUUUGCUUUAGGUAUUUGCGGAUUAUAGGAAUUGAUCGAGAUUAUUCAUUAAUUUGAGAUUAUUCAUUUGCGGUUUGGCGGAUCAAUCUAAUAAUUUUUAUUCAUUUAAAUUUAUUUAAUCUAAUUAGUUAAUCUAAUUUGCAUGUUAGUUAGCAAUUAGUUAAUCUAAUUUGCAUGCUAAGUAAUAGUAAAAUGAAAUGCAUAUUCUUAAAUUGUGUGAAUUGAAAAUGAAUGCAAAUUUUUUGAAAUGAAUGCUAUAAAAUGAAAUGUCAUGAAAUGAAUUAAAAUGCAUGAUUUAAAAAGAAUUCAUGAGUUGAAAUGAAAUUUAAAUUUAAAUAAAUGAAAUAAUUAGUUUCUAUAAAUUUAAAUUUAAAUAAAUGUUUAGUAAUUAUUUUCUAUAAAUGUGAUUUUUAAUUAGUUUUUAAUAAAUGUUUAGUAAUUAUUUAUUAAUUAAAUUAUCUAAAUAUGAAAAUCACAUUUUUAAAACAAUUAUUAGAACUUGACUUGAAAUCCAAUGUUUAAAACAAUGAUUUAAAAAUGAAAAUCAUUUAUUUAAUUAAUAAUUAAUUAAAAUAAUUAACAAUCAGAUUUUCUAUAAGUGUGAUUGUUAGUUAAUUUUUCAGUAAUUGUUGAAUAAUUAAUUAAUAAUUGAUAAUUAAAUAUUGGAAAAUCCAUUAAUCAGUUUUUAUAUUAAGAACUUGAUUUAAAAUCCAAUGUUGAAAACAAUUAUUUAAAAAUUAAAAUCACUUAUUUAUUUAUUUAAUUAAUAAUUAAUUAUUUAAUUAUUUAAUUAAAUUUAAAUAAUUAAUUAAUUAAUAAUUAAAAGAAUUAACAAUCAGAUUUUCUAUAAGUCUGAUUGUUAGUUAGUUUUUAAAUAAUUGUUGAAUAAUCAAUUAUUAAUUAUUUAUUUAUUUAAUUAACUAAUAAUUAAUAAUUAAUUAAGAAAAUAUUGGAAAAUCCAUUAAUCAGUUUUUAUAUUAAGAACUUGAUUUAAAAUCCAAUGUUGAAAACAAUUAUUUAAAAAUUAAAAUCAUUUAUUUAAUUAAUAAUUAAUUAAAUAAUUAUUUAAUUAAAUUUAAAUAAUUAAUUAAUAAUUAAAAGAAUUAACAAUCAGAUUUUCUAUAAGUGUUAGUUAGUUUUUAAAUAAUUGUUGAAUAAUCAAUUAUUAAUUAAUUAUUUAUUUAAUUAACUAAUAAUUAAUUAAGAAAAUAUUGGAAAAUCCAUUAAUCAGUUUUUAUAUUAAGAACUUGAUUUAAAAUCCAAUGUUGAAAAUAAUUAUUUAAAAAUUAAAAUCAUUUAUUUAAUUAAAUUUAAAUAAUUAAAUAAUUAAAAUAAUUAACAAUCAGAUUUUCUAUAAGUGUGAUUGUUAGUUAGUUUUUAAAUAAUUGUUGAAUAAUCAAUUAUUAAUUAUUAAUUUAUUUAAUUAACUAAUAAUUAAUUAAGAAAAUAUUGGAAAAUCCAUUAAUCAGUUUUUAUAUUAAGAACUUGAUUUAAAAUCCAAUGUUGAAAACAAUUAUUUAAAAAUUAAAAUCAUUUAUUUAAUUAAUAAUUAAUUAAAUAAUUAUUUAAUUAAAUUUAAAUAAUUAAUAAUUAAAAGAAUUAACAAUCAGAUUUUCUAUAAGUGUGAUUGUUAGUUAGUUUUUAAAUAAUUGUUGAAUAAUCAAUUAUAAUUGUAUGUAUUUCAGUUGAAUGUCUGAAAUCCGGGUACCUGAUAAGGCUUUCUUAACUUUGAGCUCUUGUAGCCAAGAAUUCAGAGAUGGCCUGACGGCGUUUGUUCAAUAUGGUUUACGAAAAUGCCAUGGUUUAUAUUAGAAAGGAUAUUUACCAUGUCCAUGUAUAGAUUGUACUAAUAGAAAUAUGAUUCCAAUUGCCGAUUUAGGUCAACACAUCUUCAUGAAUGGUUGGUUGACACAUUAUGUUAUAUGGACGAAACAUGGUGAGCGAAUUUACGAUUCAGAACCAAACAUAGAAAAUAUAGUUGAAGAUGGACCAAAUGAAAUGCGUAAUUUGGUUUGCGUGGCGAUGGGUAGACCUGAUGAGAUUGAAAAUAUUCCAGAUAUUCAAGAUCAUAAUGAUGAAGAUCUUCCAGAACCGAAUGAAGAUCUUCCAGAUUUAAAUUAUGAUUCGACUUUUGUUAAUCGGUUGAAAGACGCUGAACAAGAAUUAUGGCCCGGUUGUACUGAAUUUACAAAGCUCUCUUUUAUUUUGGAAUUAUUUCAAUGUAAGUGUAUCAUUCAGUGGUCCGAUAAAUCAUUUCAGACGUUGUUAUCCAUUUUACGUCGAUCUCAUCCCAAUGGAACAGAAACGAUCCCGAAGAAUAUGUAUCAAGCUAAGUCAGUUGUUCGUGAUUUGGGUUUACGGUAUGAGAAAAUCGAUGCAUGUCGGAACGAUUGUAUCAUUUAUUGUAAAAAAUAUAAAGAUUGCAAAAGUUGUCCUACAUGUGGUGUUUCAAGGUGGUUGAACGAAGCUGAUGAUGAUGAAAAAAGUAAACGGAUUCCCGCCAAAUAUUUGAGACAUUUUCCGUUGAUACCACGACUUAAAAGAGAUGUACCUGCUCCUGCAGCUGGCGCUGACUCUCCUGUAGGGUGGAUAUUAGUUCCACGAGUUGCACCCUCUCUCGCUUGUUCUCCCUUUCCGAGCGCUCCCUCUCCUCUGCGCGCUCCCUUCGACGGAGCCUCUCAUGCUCCUUUUCCUUCGUUCUACUCUCCCUUCUCUCCCGGGACCGCGACCGGGACCGCGUGCUGCUCUCCCUGGGCGGAGGUGUGGGUUCGCUACGUCUGCUCCUCCUGGGCGACUUCCACCCGUACCUUAUCUCCUCCAAUUCCAUGUGUAACCUUUCCUCCUGGGCGUCCCACUCCUCGUUGGCUCUCAUCUCCUCCGAGUACCGGUCCCGUGAGUGGUGCGGCACUGGCCGGUAUUCCAACGCCCCUCGCUCGCGUCGCCUCGAGCAUUCUCCUACCUGGUAUCUGCUUCUUCCUGUCAUCCUCCUCCUUGUCUCCGACUAUUGCGUGUUAGUUCACGUCAGGUUCACCACUGUUGGUGUGUGGGCUCGCUGGAGUAAGCUCGCCGUCCAACCUAGUACAAGUGUUUCUCUCAGAAUUAUCAACCUCUUCCCCUGUUGGACCAGAGGUAUUUAUAGCCUUCCAUUGCUGUCCUUGGGCCUCGUGGGAUCGCCCGUCGGGCCCAUCCGUUCGCCCGGGCCGCCGACGGGGCUGGUUCGGUCCAUGGGCCGCGGUCCAUGGUACCAACACUAGGUAAGAAAGUAGAAUAGGUUGGCUUGGUGUUUAGAGAAUUUUGUUUUAGUUUCCCCCCUUCUUUCAUUCUGUUUUUUCCUUUCUUUCUUAUUUGUCAGUUUUCUUUGUUUUCUUCUUCUCUUAUUGAUUGUGUUAAUUUAUACGCGUAGAUUACAAAUUGUGAAAUAAAGAAGAAUUUGUUUUUUUUCUCUUUGUUUUUCUUUUGGUUUGAUGACUACUUGUUUUGUUGUUUGUAUUUCAGGUAAGGACAAGUAGCUAAGAGAAUAAAGAAUAGCACAACAAAGGGAAGGAGGUUGGUAUCAAUAUUGGAAGUUUAUCACCAGAAUACAAAACUAUCACCAAGAAAACGUAUCUUUUUCAAUUGAUUAAUAUCACUAUUUAUAAUACAAUGAUUUAUACUAACUACUACAAUUGUUUGUCCUAACUAACAUAUUAGUUAGUCAACUAACAUAUUGUUAGUUAACGGUUGUACUCAAGAUAUUGUUAACACGUCCCCUCAAACCGGAAGAGCUUCUUUGACGAGUUUGGAACAUAGCUCUUUGAAUACUUUAGGCUUAAGAGCCUUGGUUAAGAUGUCCGCCCUUUGAUGCGACUCUGGGAUAUGCUUUAUCACUAAUGUCCCAUUCUCUGUUUUCUCUUUUACAAAGUGGAGAUCCAUUGCGACGUGUCGAAACUUGG
RNAcentral lists this long non-coding RNA (5715 nucleotides) under Zostera marina. RNAcentral describes it as "long non-coding RNA (ZMAR_LNC000674)". The record is from RNAcentral. Lineage: Eukaryota; Viridiplantae; Streptophyta; Magnoliopsida; Alismatales; Zosteraceae.